This 498-nucleotide ribosomal RNA is filed under the name uncultured Actinomyces sp. Its description in RNAcentral is "bacterial SSU rRNA". It matches the Rfam family "Bacterial small subunit ribosomal RNA", at positions 1 to 507 of the family's 1533-position model. Lineage: Bacteria; Bacillati; Actinomycetota; Actinomycetes; Actinomycetales; Actinomycetaceae. The record is from RNAcentral.
AGAGUAGUUUCGAUCCUGCGACAGGACACGCUGGCGGCGUGCUUAACACAUGCAAGUCGAACGCUGAAGCCCAGCUUGCUGGGUGGAUGAGUGGCGAACGGUGAGUAACACGUGAGUACCUGCCCCUUCUUUGGGAUAACGCCCGAAACGGGUGCUAAUACUGGAUAUUCACUGGCCUUCGCAUGGGGGUUGGUGGAAAGGUUUUUUCUGGUGGGGGAUGGGCUCGCGGCCUAUCAGCUUGUUGGUGGGGUGAUGGCCUACCAAGGCUUUGACGGGUAGCCGGCCUGAGAGGGUGACCGGUCACAUUGGGACUGAGAUACGGCCCAGACUCCUACGGGAGGCAGCAGUGGGGAAUAUUGCACAAUGGGCGAAAGCCUGAUGCAGCGACGCCGCGUGAGGGAUGACGGCCUUCGGGUUGUAAACCUCUUUCGCUCAUGGUCAAGCCGCGACAUUGGUUGUGGUGAGGUAGUGGGUAAAGAAGCGCCGGCUAACUACGUG